CUUUGUAGGCCCAAACAGGCCUGAAAAUUAGCCUGAGACAGGCUGCGGCAGUGAUCUAAGAGGCCGUUGGGGGGAGGGGGAACCUUUGCAGACCCCCCCGCUCCACAGCCCUUAGGAAGCCCCCCAAAGAGGCUACAGGUGGACAGCUUGGCUGAAACAUGAGCAGAAGGACUACGGCAGAGUCAGCAUUUGACUUGCUGGCCCUAAAUGAUCAGGAAACCUUAAGGACUGCCUCUUUCUGUAUGUACCUGCUUGGACACUUGGUUCAACACCUGAAGUCCUGUUGAUUGUCCUACAGCCGCCUGGAGCACGGCAGGAGGGGAUGUGAGACAGGGCCUUUUCGACAGCAGCACCUGGAAUGCCCUCCCCAAAGAGGUUCACUCGCUGCCCGCCAUUGGGCAAGUAGUCAAAACCUGUUUUUUUAAAGAAAGCCUUUUGAGUUAAAUUAGCUGUGCUGCUGUAAACUUCUGGCUGUUGUGUUUUUUACUGAUGGAUUGUUUGUAAAUGUUGCUGUUGUGAGCCUUGUUUAGGAUCCUUGAUGGAAAGGUAGGUUAUAAACAUCAAUGGUCACCACUGUCAAAAGAGUGUAAGGCUAGUUGCAAAGCCUGAAUUACUCGGCAGGUGAAGGACCUGUUGUAAUUCCUGUUUUUAGUGUUUUCACCCUAACCUGUGGGGAAGAAAUCCAAACCAGAAGGAGCUCGCAUGCCAAGC
This is a long non-coding RNA of Hemicordylus capensis (graceful crag lizard), 711 nucleotides long. RefSeq lists it as uncharacterized. The record is from RefSeq and is a predicted model, not a curated record. Lineage: Eukaryota; Metazoa; Chordata; Lepidosauria; Squamata; Cordylidae. The transcript has 3 exons.